GGAUCUGCUGCUACAUCCUGCAAUACUUGUGUGCGUUCUGCAGCAGAAUGGUGUAUCUCAUUUCUGUACACACAGUUGUUUUCAGCAGGCUCCUGAUGGUCGCAAUUACGGCAAGCAUAAAGGAGGAUCUUCUGCUCCUUAUCUUCCUUUGGAUACAAAAUGUUGUUACAUUCUCGGCAAAAUUUCAUAGUACUCAUUUUCGCAAGUUUUUUCUUUGAAUUUCGAAGCUUUUACAGAGAAAAUUGAGCGAUUUGUUCUAAGCUUUUGCUAU
Molecule: unclassified non-coding RNA, 271 nt
Filed under: Hevea brasiliensis (rubber tree)
Lineage: Eukaryota; Viridiplantae; Streptophyta; Magnoliopsida; Malpighiales; Euphorbiaceae
Source: RNAcentral